Molecule: unclassified non-coding RNA, 4321 nt
Filed under: Apis florea (little honeybee)
Lineage: Eukaryota; Metazoa; Arthropoda; Insecta; Hymenoptera; Apidae
Description: pH and SEC7 domain-containing protein 2, transcript variant X3
Source: RNAcentral
CCAUCCAGUCGCGAGGCGUUCGCCGGGCAGAGUGGAGGUGGUUACGUUGUCCGCAAGGAUAUGUGGUCGGUUACCGCGACGCCGCCGCGGUUCGCGCAGGCACAGGUACGAAGUGCGCGCGUUUUCGAGGCGGUAUCACGAAAAGCGCAGGAGUGGCGUUUCGUUCUACGUAUCGUUCCGAUAUCAUUGCUACAGUUCAUCGUUGAUGUACAGUGGGUAAUAGGAGGUUCGUAAAUCGGCAAAAAGAAAGGAAAGACGAGGAAAAAAAGAAGAAAGAAAAGAGAUAGAGCGCGGUUCUAUCGCGCGGUGCAGUGUGAAAAGUGUUCGCGAAAGGGGGCUUUUGCUUCUUCUUGUGUGUGCGUGUACGUGCAUGUGCCACAGCAAAAGCACGUAAGAACGUAACUAGUGACACACGGAAAAAGGAGAGAGAGAGAAAGACGAAUAAACACGGGUCGUCGGAUAAUCCUUGUGUACGGUGUGCGAGUUUCGUGAAUGUGCGUCAAAUGACAGUGAGGUGAUCAAUGUGCUCGAAACAUGGCUGAGGAGCUGGUGGUCACCCUGAACCGCGGCGACUCGUCCGGAUUCGGGUUUUCGCUCCUCGGUACCGCGGGUUUGCCGCACGUCAUCUACGACAUCGUUGAGAAUUCGCCGGCAGCAAAGAGCGGCAAGGUCGAGGCCGGCGACGUCAUACUCAGGGUGAACGAAGUCGAUGUCAACCGAUUUAGUACUAAAGAAGUGCUGAAAUGUCUGCGGCUCUCGUCGGAUCCCGUCACCCUGAAGUUGAGAAGGGAUCCUGCGAUAAAAGCUCAUGUGCGUCGGCUAUUGUCACCUGGACAACCGGUAUGUGACGAGACGGAUUCGUCGAAGAUAUCUCUCGAGGCAACAACGCCCGCGAAUAACCCUAGAACAGUGUCGUCCGGCAACGGAGAGGGCACAGAACUAAGGAAGCCUGGAACGCCAGAACUUCCGGGAGGUUCGCCACAGGAACCAACUGGGGCGACGCAAUAUGCGACCAGAAGCAAUGGAUCCUAUAGUGAUGCCUCUGGCUCCUCCGAGUUAGAGGCACUACUUCCACCAAUGGAUAGUUUCAAAGAAGAGGAACGUGCCCAAUGGGAGCCGCUUUCCGGUGACAAGUUUUCCAGACAGAAGAACACGCCUAGGUUCGAAGCGUACAUGAUGACCGGUGACCUAAUGUUGAACCUGUCGCGCACCCAGCAAAGCAGCGGCCUGCUCCCGAAGCACCAGAAGAAGGUCGACUCCCUGAGGUACAACAAUCAUCACACCCACCAUCACCAUAAUCACCACAAUCACCACCAUCAUAACUCGGUACCCACCAGUCCUAACGAGAUGCUGGGCCAUCACCGUGCCUACAAGUGUACCGGUUCGAAUUCGGCCAGCACCUCACCGGUCGGGAUCAGCAAGCGUGAAAGCGGCCAGUGUCCGGGCCAGAGCGAUAAUAGCAAACAAAAUACCGCGAGUUUUGGUUAUUCGAGCGGUUUCGUCCGCACCUCGCGCUCCGAGGACCACUUGCAAUUCCAAAAGGACCCGUCGAUGAGCGCGGUGGACAUUGACAUUGACGAUGACGUCACGUCCAGCCUAAACACCCUGUUGGACACGAGGCCUGACAGCGGCCAAGGUUUGUCCAGCGAGAGGAUCGUCUGGACGUACAACGCGCCGGUCAGCUCGCCAUCAGCCUCGGAGCGCACCUCCUGCUGCCAGAAUGGCAGCUCCUCGCAAUCCUCGUCGAGUAGCUCCUCGACCGAGGGAACUAGUCCCCAAAGAUCCUUAUCGCCAACUUCCCCUACCUCGGUCUCGUCCUCCGUCAUGUCCUCCAAUUCUGGAUCCCGUAGGUUCCCACCGCCGGUACCCACGGGCACCACACCGUCAGCCCUGGGGCCCUCCGGCGACGGAACCGCAUCCUCGGCCUCCGGCCUUCAUCCCACCAACGGUGACCUCAGCCAGUCCGAGGCGAUCAGCAACAUGUCCAGUCCCGACUACAACGACGAAGAGACUAUGGACAUACUGAGUGCACGCGAUAUCAUGAUGGUCAGUGAUCCGAGUGACAGUGACUCGACGAUACUCGCCAGCGAACCACCUCAGAGGAGGCUGAAGGCAGCUGCUGCGGCCACCGUGCAACAAACGUCGAACGUUUACGCAUCGGCACAGGAGAAUACCGAGCACAGGAUAGUGAUACAGGUGAAGGGACCGGACAAGGACGUCGCGGUGGCGAGGAAUACGAGUCCAAGGCAGAACAGGAGACGGGGAAAUCUCGGUAAUCCGGAACUCGUAGCCACGUCCACCGCGCAGAACAUCGUGCAACGCCCGCCCGGCAAUAACACCGCUGGGAACGUUACGCCUGAAUUCGUUGGGUACCAGGAGCUGAAAGAGAGUGAAGACGAGAAUGAAGCUUUAAAUAUCGGAAAUUACGAAGAUAAGCACGCGUCGCCACCACAAUCUGCAGAUGAGGAAAGCGAUAUCGAAAGUCUACACAGCUUCCAUUACAGUCCAAAAGCAGUGGACCUGCCAUCAGCCGUUCGAUUAGCCAAAAGACUAUACUCCUUAGACGGCUUCAAAAAGUCUGACGUCUCUAGACAUCUUAGCAAAAACAACGAUUUUAGUAGAGCGGUAGCCGAAGAAUAUUUGAGAUACUUCAACUUCGACCGAGACACGCUGGACGUGGCUCUUAGAAAGUUCCUUGCCCAGUUCUCUUUGACCGGGGAGACCCAGGAAAGGGAGAGGGUUCUUGUACAUUUCUCCAAGAGAUUUCUCGAUUGUAAUCCGGGCGCUUUCAAUUCUCAGGAUGCUGUUCAUACUUUAACCUGUGCUAUAAUGCUGCUCAAUACAGAUCUCCAUGGUCAGAAUAUUGGUAGAAAGAUGUCAUGUAACGAAUUUAUCGAAAACCUCUCGGAACUGAACGAUGGCGAUAACUUCCCCAGAGAGGUGCUAAAGCAGCUAUAUAAUGCCAUUAAAUCGUUCCCCUUGGAAUGGGCCUUAGAUGAAGAAGGGGAUGAAACUGCGAAUCAAGCAAUCCAACAGGGUGACGGUCCAGCAAUAUCGGGUACAGGAAAUCCAUUUCUUGAUGUGCCAAAUGUUACAGGUGCUACGGAGUUCAAGAAGGGAUAUGUUAUGCGGAAAUGUUGUUUCGAUUCCAAUGGAAAGAAAACACCAUUCGGGAAACGUGGUUGGAAGAUGUAUUAUUGUACAUUGAGAGAACUUGUAUUAUAUUUGCACAAAGAUGAGCAUGGCUUCCGUAAUGAUAGUUUGCAUAACGCGAUACGCAUUCAUCAUGCGUUAGCUACUAAAGCAUCUGACUAUACGAAGAAGGAACACGUGUUUAGGUUACAGACUGCUGAUCAAGCAGAGUAUCUCUUCCAAACAAGUGAUUCCAAAGAAUUGCAAUCGUGGAUUGACACGAUCAAUUUCGUGUGUGCCAGUUUUUCUUGCCAACCAUUAGCAGGCGCGGUUGGUUCACAGCGAAAGUUUCAACGACCUCUGCUUCCGUGCAGCCACACGAAAUUAUCUCCUAGAGAACAAUUACGGGACCAUGAGGAGAGAGUGAGCAAAUUGGAAGCUGAAUUGGAAGAGCACAGACGACAUCCGCCUGAGAGAGGAGCUAAAGCUCUUACUGUACAGAAUUAUAAGGAAAAAGAUGCCUAUUUACAUCAUGAGUAAGUGAGAUGUAGAAGUAAAUUCUUAUUAUGCAAUAAAAUUGUUUUGCAUUUCCUAUACUCUAUGGAUCUCAUGUUUUAUCGAAUCGGAGCAAGUUACUUAACAUUCAAUGAGAAAAACAAAAUUUGCAAAGAGUAGAAGAACGUGAUACUUUCACCAUGCUUAAGAGGUAUAAAACAUACGCAUACCUGUUACGAUCCAGGUUGGCUUUUACGGAAGUGGAACCAUCGUUAGUUGAGAGCAGUAUUGGCGAGGUGGAUGAGGGAAGCGGAACUUUGUUGAAUUCGGAUGUUGCAUUGGUGCCACCGCCUGUCCCCGAUCGACCGGCCAUAAAUAGGUACAGUUACAGGGCUGCCAUUUACAACCGUAAUCUGCUAAAUGGUCAGGACUACGGCGGGGACAUUGGUUGACGUGUGAUGGGUGUCUUUUCAGCAUGUGUGGUCUAAUCUGACCUGCAUAUGCAGGCAAUAGGAACAGCUGAAAUUUAGAAGAGAAUAUUAAUGAAAAAAUAACGAUGUAUCCGACGCAUCACUUGUUAAGUACUGUACUUUAUCGUAUCAUGUACUCACCAUUCUCUUUUACUAUAUUUAAUCGUAAAUUUAUCAGCGGCCAUUAAAAAAAAUACCGAUAAUACUAGCAUUCGUAAAGUGCU